Juglans microcarpa x Juglans regia is the source of this 124-nucleotide long non-coding RNA. RefSeq lists it as uncharacterized. The record is from RefSeq and is a predicted model, not a curated record. Lineage: Eukaryota; Viridiplantae; Streptophyta; Magnoliopsida; Fagales; Juglandaceae. The transcript has 3 exons.
CGGAGAUGGAGAUAAAUAGGCUUCAUCGGUGACAGAUCGAAGCAGGGGUUAGGUCCAUUGGAUUGCUAUGAGGUCGAGGAUGAAGUGGCAGGAAGAUAGUGGUUGAUGGUGGGGCGACGGCGGC